CGGCCAUGUGCGCGCCCAUCCCCCACCCCGAAGUGUACCCUAGCCUCCCGCUCACCUACCCCAACCCGGCGGCGGCCGCGGCGUGCGCGGCACAGAGGGGGCGCUCCGGUCACAGCCUCCGCUGGCCCGGCCGGCGGUGUGAAGCCUCGGGAGGCGCCCUGCGCUCUCACUGUGCCCUGAGUUUCUAAGCCGCUCUGGGGCAGGCGCGGGGACUGGGUUGGUCCUCGCGAAGGCGCGGGGCGAGGUCUUUGAGCUCUCCUCCCUCUGAGGGUCCCUGGCGCCGGGCGGGACGCGGAUCAGCAGGCUGCGCAUCUUCCUCGCCCGGGCCUCUCGCGGGACUCAGGCACCCUCCUCCUGCCACCCCGCAGGGGCUCUCCAGCUUUUCUUCCGCGCCCAGUCGCCCUAAGAGACAGAGGCCGUGGGGGCAGGACGCGCCCAGAAAACGGCCAGGCGCGGUCCCAGUGGGCGUCUUCGCCGCCUCCCGGGUGAGGGCGGGAGGCAUGUGCAAAGCAGGUAAAAUAGGGAAAUGAAAAAAGCACUCAGAAAAAAAAAUCCUUUUAGGAAAAAAAAAAACGAGGUGAAUGGCGGCCUCCAAGUGAGAGAGAACGUUGCGCACUGCAUUUGGCUAGGACCCCCAAGAUUUGCUGGGCUCGCAGAUAACCUCGUAGGAGCUCCCUCGACUGGCUGAGGCCAGUGAAGGCAGAACAGCUGAGUUCGGGCCGCGGUGCGGGAGCGCAAAAUACCCCGUCCCUCCUCCCCUCCCGCCUCCCCACCCAUCCCUUUCCUCCCUGGAGUCCGCAGCACCUCACUCUACCUCCCAGGAGACCAAACUCCAUGCCGCCUCUCCAGUCCUCUGAGUCUGCACCCGGGUCUGCUCUCCCAACGCGUGGCUGGCGCCCCAACCCCGGCCCUCCUGUCUGCUCCUCCCGCGCCUCAGUUCCCCAGCCCCAGCUUCUAGACAACUGCAGCGGGGGUGUGGGAGGUGGAUCGGGAAAUGGAACAUCCCGCAGGUGAGGUCAGGCUAGAUGGAUUAAGGAAACUCUGUAAAGGGACCACCCUACACACCACCGCAGCCGGCAGGGAGAAGGAAGGGGCCUUGCCGUAGAGGAGCAAGUGAGGAGGCGUUGUCCCGCCGUCCGGCCGCCUGGAGCAGUUUUUAAAUUCAUAAGCGCUUCUGUAACGUCAGUGGGACACAGCGCAGCCCCAUGCCAAAGUCUCAGCGCAUUUUCGGGUGAAUUUUGAGCGAGGUGAAGGAGGCCUUGGGUUCCCGGAGUCGCUGGAGGACGCGCGUCGGGCCCCGCCCAGUUAUUUCGCUGCAAGAGGGAAAAGGCACGAGCGUGGACACGGCUAAGUAGACUCGGAGGCCGGAGAUCGGUCCUAACCGGGCCUCGAAGUUCCUACCGCGGACGAACUUUGCUCUUCGCGGCCGUCCCGCGUCGCACCCGGGGAAAAGCAACACAACUUGCUGCGCGGGCUGAGAGCCCGAAGCCCGCCGCACGCCGCAAUGCUCCGCGCUCCCCGCGGGGUCGGGCGACUCAGACAGGGACCGGAAAAGAACCACGCAGAAGAAAGCCCUAUUUCUUGUCGUCUGUUCCUGUGCAGCCUUGCAGCCUCGCCGCCCCCGCGUCGCUCGCUCUCGCGACCCUGUGAACACUUUGAAAAACAAGAGUCGGGGGAAGCAACGGGCUAAGCGCUGCUAUUUGGGGCACUAAAAGGAAGCCGGCCAGAGGUGGCGGGUUCAUGCGUCCCCCGAGACCCAGGCCGCGUCGGGGGCCAAGAGCCCUUACAGCCUUCUCCCGCGCCGUCGGGAGGUCCUCCCGGAACUGGGCCGGAGCGCAGAGAACGCAGUGUGAGAAGGGCCCAUGGGUUUUAGGUCACCUCCUUCGCGCUGGACGCGGGCAGAGCGGUGUCCCUUUCUGUCUCUGCCAAGAGACGUGGAGGGAGGGAGAAGGGAGGAUGGCUUGUGCUGAAAGAAACAAGAAUGAAGUCGGGCAGCCGGGAUCUGAGAAAUGGGAAAUCCAUGGCCCUUGUUCGGGACCACAGGCUUUGCCGACGUGGUCUCUCCUAGUUCCGAAAUUGCCCAGGCCCGCCUCCCCACCCUCUGCAAGCAGCGGGAACGACUUCCACAUCGCUUAAUUUCUUUAUUAAACUUUUCACCUAUUCUCUUCUAAAGGACAGACUACAGCGUCAGAUGGUAAAAAUGUUUUCCGCGCCUUGUCUUGCCGUACGGAAACCGCCGGCCUGGGAGGACAAGCCGAGUUCUUGUUUUGCCGAGAGCAAAACUCUAGGCUCCCACUUCCUUCUCCCAGUCCGUGCGUUUCCUUGCAGAGCCCCAGAGCGUCUGAUUCACUGAAAUAGCAUCACUUGCUGAACCAAACCUUUUUUCCCGCUCGCGGAAAGAGUGGAGCUUUUUUCUUUUGUCUAAGGGUGUUUGCUUUUUUUUUUUUCUUUCACUCGGCACCACAGUUUUUCUAAAUCA
RNAcentral lists this long non-coding RNA (2479 nucleotides) under Homo sapiens (human). Its description in RNAcentral is "HSALNT0037723". Lineage: Eukaryota; Metazoa; Chordata; Mammalia; Primates; Hominidae. The record is from RNAcentral.